This 630-nucleotide small RNA is filed under the name Pan troglodytes (chimpanzee). RNAcentral describes it as "processed transcript". The record is from RNAcentral. Lineage: Eukaryota; Metazoa; Chordata; Mammalia; Primates; Hominidae.
GUUUGCUGCUGGAGCCGCGGCGUUCUCCUCGGGCCCGGACUCCGCGGGCGCAGCUGUCCCGACGCUGAGCUGGGGACCCGUGGGGUUCUCGGAGAGGGGCAGAGACCCAAGGUCACAGAGGCGACGUUGUGGACGUUUACCAGCGGGAGUUCCUGGCGCUGCGCGAUCGCUUGCACGCAGCUGAGCAGGAGAGCCUCAAGCGCUCCAAGGAGCUCAACCUGGUGCUGGACGAGAUCAAGAGGGCCGUGUCAGAAAGGCAGGCGCUGCGAGACGGAGACGGCAAUCGCACCUGGGGCCGCCUAACAGGUGAGGUCUGGGGCGGGCGGGGGAAAAGGCGGGGGCGGGCUGGUUGUUAGGUUCCCUGGUCUCAGUCCCGAUCCUUCCCGACCCACCCAGAGGACCCCCGAUUGAAGCCGUGGAACGGCUCACACCGGCACGUGCUGCACCUGCCCACUGUCUUCCAUCACCUGCCACACCUGCUGGCCAAGGAGAGCAGUCUGCAGCCCGCGGUGCGCGUGGGCCAGGGCCGCACCGGAGUGUCGGUGGUGAUGGGCAUCCCGAGCGUGCGGCGCGAGGUGCACUCGUACCUGACUGACACUCUUCACUCGCUCAUCUCCGAGCUGAGCCCGC